UUUUUUUUUACAUUUUGGGCUGUCAUUGGUAGGCACUAGUAUACAAAAAAAUUUAAAAAAAAAAUUUGGUGGUGGCCUGCCAAUGGCUGGCACCAUCUUUAUGGGAAAAAAAAAUUUCGAGUGCCAUCAAAAUGAGAGUGUCUUGUAGUAUAUCAUCAAAUAAGUUUUUUUGGAGUGGAUUGUAUAUGGAGUUUUUUGUAGUGUACAAUCAAAUUUCGGGGUUGAAUUAUAUACUGUCAAGUCCACCCUAAAGGUUAUGCUAUUAAGGGUUGGAUGAUUCUUUACACCAUAGAUGGCUAAUCGAGUUGUCCAAUAUGCAGAUGGACAUUAUCUAUGGUGCAAUAGUGUUUAUUCUGCAACUAGGUUCUAAUUGGAAUCGGUUGAUAGAAUCUCCAUGCAAAGGUAUCUCAUGGGACCUCAUAGGACAAUGGAGGAAGAAAAGGUCUAGAGCAGAAGACGAUUAAUUGUGAAGAAACUAGUGCCGGUGCCACGUAGACCUGAUUCAAGCAGAAGACGAUUAAUUGUGAAGAAACUAGUAUUGAAAAUAAUUGUAUUAUUUCUUAAGAAUGUUAUAUUUAUCGUUUUAAAAAUAAUUUAAAAGAAUAUUUAAUAUUAAUUAGGACAUUUUAUUUCUCGGUUACCUUGUACACAAUGCUUGCAAUGUGGUCGUUGUCAUUUAAAAGAACAUUUGGAUUAGGAUCCACGGAGUGAUCGGCGGUCGUCGGCGAUGGUUAAGCAUGAACAGCGGCGGUCGUCGACAGUGGUUGAGGGUGGCGGUGGACGGAAUGGCCUAUUUAUAGUGGGGGACCAUUUUAAAAGGAGGCAAAAUUGGAAAAAAAAUUUAAUACUUCUGACACACUUUUAUUUUUCAGUCAAUUUGGUUUAUUUCAUUUAAUUUUAAUCAUUCAAUUUUAUGACACACUUUUUUUUUCUACCAAUCUGAUUUAUUUCAUUCAAUCUGACACACUUUGUUUUUUUUUCAUUCAAUUUUAAGCAUGCCAACAUCUGACACACUUUUUUUAUCAUUCAUUUCAAUUUUUUAUUUCUACAUCUAACACCCCUUUUUUUCAUUCAAUCUCAUUUAUUUCAAUUUUAUUUUUCUAUAUCUAACACCCUUUUUUUCAUUCAAUCUCAUUUAUUUCAGUUUUAUUUUUCUACAUCUAACACCCUUUUUUUCAUUCAAUGUCAUUUAUUUUAACUUCUUGAAUUUUUUUUUACAUAAAGGUGGUGUCGACCAUUGCCAAGCCACCACCAAAAUUUUUUUUUUGAAUUUUUUCAUAUACUGUUGCCGGCAAAUUACAGCCAAAAUGUAAAAAAAAAUUUACAUAAAGGUGGUGUCGGCCAUUGCCAGGCCACCACAAAAAAAUUGUUUUUUUAUUUUUUCGUAUACUGGUGCCGGCCUAUGAUAGCCAAAAUGUAAAAAAAAAAUGGUGGUGGCCUGGUAAUGGCCGACACCACGUUUAUGUAAUUUUUUUUUUUACACUUUGGGCUGUCAUUGGCAGGCACUAGUAUACAAAAAAAUAAAUAAAAAUUUUGUUGGUGGCCUGCCAAUGGCUGGCACCAACUUUAUGGGAAAAAAAAAUUUCGGGUGCAAUCAAAAUGAGAGUGUUUUGUAGUAUAUCAUCAAAUAAGUUUUUUUGGAAUGGAUUGUAUAUGGAGUUUUUUGUAGUGUACAAUCAAAUUUCGGGGUUCAAUUAUAUACUGUCAUAUUUUAUUUGAGUUGAAUUAUAUACUGUCAAGUCCACCCUAAAGGUUAUGCUAUUAAGGGUUGGAUGAUUCUUUGCACCAUAGAUGGCUAAUCGAGUUGUACAAUAUGCAGAUGGACAUUAUCUAUGGUGCAAUAGUGUUUAUGCUACAACUAGGUUCUGAUUGGAAUCGGUUGAUAGAGUCUCCAUGCAAAGGUAUCUCAUGGGACCUCAUGGGACAAUGGAGGAAGAAAAGGUCUAGAGCAGAAGACGAUUAACUGUGAAGAAACUAGUACCGAUGCCAUGUAGACCUGAUUCAAGCAGAAGACGAUUAAUUGUGAAGAAACUAGUAUUGAAAAUAAUUGUAUUAUUUCUUAAGAAUGUUAUAUUUAUCGUUUUAAAAAUUAUUUAAAAGAAUAUUUAAUAUUAAAUAGGACAUUUUAUUUCUCGGUUACCUUGUACACAAUGCUUGCAAUGUGGUCGUUGUCAUUUAAAAGAACAUUUGGAUUAGGAUCCAUGGAGUGAUCGGCGGUCAUUGGCGAUGGUUAAGCAUGAACAGCGGCGGUCGUCGACAGUGGUUGAGGGUGGCGGUGGACGGAAUGGCCUAUUUAUAGUGGGGGACCAUUUUAAAAGGAGGCAAAAUUGGAAAAAAGAAUUUAAUACUUCUGACACACUUUUAUUUUUCAUUCAAUUUGGUUUAUUUCAUUUAAUUUUAAUCAUUCAAUUUUAUGACACACUUUUUUUUUCUACCAAUCUGAUUUAUUUCAUUCAAUCUGACACACUUUGUUUUUUUUCAUUCAAUUUUAAGCAUGCCAACAUCUGACACACUUUUUUUAUCAUUCAUUUCAAUUUUUUAUUUCUACAUCUAACACGCUUUUUUUCAUUCAAUCUCAUUUAUUUCAAUUUUAUUUUUCUAUAUAUAACACCCUUUUUUUCUUUCAAUCUCAUUUAUUUAAGUAUUAUUUUUCUACAUCUAACACCCUUUUUUUUCAUUCAAUGUCAUUUAUUUUAACUUCUUAAAAUUUUUUUUACAUAAAGGUGGUGUCGGCCAUUGCCAAGCCACCACCAAAAAAAAUAUUUGAAUUUUUUCGUAUACUGUUGCCAGCAAAUGACAGCCAAAAUGUAAAAAAAAAAUUUACAUAAAGGUGAUGCCGGCCAUUGCCAGGCCACCACCAAAAAAAAAUUGUUUUUGAAUUUUUUCGUAUACUGGUGCCGGCCUAUGACAAAAAAAAUGUAAAAAAAAAUUGGUGGUGGCCUGGUAAUGGCCAACACCACCUUUAUGUAAUUUUUUUUUUACAUUUUGGGCUGUCAUUGGCAGGCACUAGUAUACAAAAAAAUAAAAAAAAUUUUGUUGGUGGCUUGCCAAUGGCUGGCACCAACUUUAUGGGAAAAAAAAAUUUCGGGUGCCAUCAAAAUGAGAGUGUUUUGUAGUAUAUCAUCAAAUAAGUUUUUUUGGAGUGGAUUGUAUAUGGAGUUUUUUGUAGUGUACAAUCAAAUUUCGGGGUUGAAUUAUAUACUGUCAUAUUUUAUUGGAGUUGAAUUAUAUACUGUCAAGUCCACCCUAAAGGUUAUGCUAUUAAGGGUUGGAUGAUUCUUUGCACCAUAGAUGGCUAAUCGAGUUGUCCAAUAUGUAGAUGGACAUUAUCUAUGGUGCAAUAGUGUUUAUUCUGCAACUAGGUUCUGAUUGGAAUCGGUUGAUAGAGUCUCCAUGCAAAGGUAUCUCAUGGGACCUCAUGGGACAAUGGAGGAAGAAAAGGUCUAGAGCGGAAGACGAUUAAUUGUGAAGAAACUUGUACCGAUGCCACGUAGACCUGAUUCAAGCAGAAGACGAUUAAUUGUGAAGAAACUAGUAUUGAAAAUAAUUGUAUUAUUUCUUAAGAAUGUUAUAUUUAUCGUUUUAAAAAUUAUUUAAAAUAAUGUUAUAUUUCUCGGUUACCUUGUGCACAAUGCUUGCAAUGUGGUUGUUGUCAUUUAAAAGAACAUUCGGAUUAGGAUCCAUGGAGUCAUCGGCGGUCAUCGGCGAUGGUUAAGCGUGAAUAGCGGCGGUCGUCAGUAGUGGUUGACGGUGGCGGUGGACGGAAUGGCCUGUUUAUAGUGGGGGACCAUUUGAAAGGGGGGCAAAAUUGAAAAAAAAAUUUAAUACUUCUGACACAUUUUUUUUUUCUUUCAAUCUGAUUUAUUUCAUUUAAUUUUAAGCAUUCAAUUUUAUGACACUUUUUUUUUCUACCAAUCUGAUUUAUUUCAUUUAAUCUGACACACUUUUUUUUUCAUUCAAUUUUAAGCAUGCCAACAUCUGAAACACUUUUUUUUUCAUUCAUUUCAAUUUUUUUCUACAUCUAA
Molecule: long non-coding RNA, 4025 nt
Filed under: Gossypium raimondii (Peruvian cotton)
Lineage: Eukaryota; Viridiplantae; Streptophyta; Magnoliopsida; Malvales; Malvaceae
Description: long non-coding RNA (GRAI_LNC004684)
Source: RNAcentral